AUUGAACGCUGGCGGCAUGACUUACACAUGCAAGUCGAACGGCAGCAUGGAAGAGCUUGCUCUUCUGAUGGCGAGUGGCGAACGGGUGAGUAAAGCAUCGGAACGUACCGUGUAGUGGGGGAUAACGUAGCGAAAGUUACGCUAAUACCGCAUACGGCACUGAGGUGGAAAAGCAGGGGAUCGCAAGACCUUGCGCUAUACGAGCGGCCGAUGUCAGAUUAGCUAGUUGGUAGGGUAAAGGCCUACCAAGGCGACGAUCUGUAGCGGGUCUGAGAGGAUGAUCCGCCACACUGGGACUGAGACACGGCCCAGACUCCUACGGGAGGCAGCAGUGGGGAAUUUUGGACAAUGGGCGAAAGCCUGAUCCAGCCAUGCCGCGUGAGUGAAGAAGGCCUC
RNAcentral lists this ribosomal RNA (396 nucleotides) under uncultured bacterium. Its description in RNAcentral is "bacterial SSU rRNA". It matches the Rfam family "Bacterial small subunit ribosomal RNA", at positions 30 to 418 of the family's 1533-position model. The record is from RNAcentral.